Molecule: ribosomal RNA, 506 nt
Filed under: uncultured bacterium
Lineage: Bacteria
Description: partial 16S ribosomal RNA
Rfam family: Bacterial small subunit ribosomal RNA
Source: RNAcentral
AUUGAACGCUGGCGGCAGGCCUAACACAUGCAAGUCGAACGGUAACAGGAAGAAGCUUGCUUCUUUGCUGACGAGUGGCGGACGGGUGAGUAAUGUCUGGGAAACUGCCUGAUGGAGGGGGAUAACUACUGGAAACGGUAGCUAAUACCGCAUAACGUCGCAAGACCAAAGAGGGGGACCUUCGGGCCUCUUGCCAUCGGAUGUGCCCAGAUGGGAUUAGCUAGUUGGUGGGGUAACGGCUCACCUAGGCGACGAUCCCUAGCUGGUCUGAGAGGAUGACCAGCCACACUGGAACUGAGACACGGUCCAGACUCCUACGGGAGGCAGCAGUGGGGAAUAUUGCACAAUGGGCGCAAGCCUGAUGCAGCCAUGUCGCGUGUAUGAAGAAGGCCUUCGGGUUGUAAAGUACUUUCAGCGGGGAGGAAGGGAGUAAAGUUAAUACCUUUGCUCAUUGACGUUACCCGCAGAAGAAGCACCGGCUAACUCCGUGCCAGCAGCCGCCGUAA